GGAAUCGAUAUGCUGUACUUAAAUGGGGCUGUUAACACUGCCCCAAAACAAGACAGAAAUCACACCAUUUAUCAUAGAAAUCGACUUUUCUCCAACAUGUAUUGCCAAGAUAUAUCCAUCUUACUUUGAACUUGGAAUGUGGUGCAGCACAGAAAUCAAAAUAAGUAUUCAGCAAGGCUUUGGAAGGUCAGUCCUCCACAGUGAUCUGCAGCAGAUUGCCUUGCUGUUUGGCACCUCACAUGGGGCACCAUUGUCACAGCAACAGUGGGGUGCUGUAGUUUGGAUCUUAAAUGCCCC
RNAcentral lists this long non-coding RNA (297 nucleotides) under Heterocephalus glaber (naked mole-rat). RNAcentral's name for it is "lncRNA (ENSHGLG00000039747.1)". The record is from RNAcentral. Lineage: Eukaryota; Metazoa; Chordata; Mammalia; Rodentia; Bathyergidae.